GGCCGCGAUGGCGGACGCCGCGGCCCGGAUCGCCUCCGGGCAGAAGGUGGCCGUUCUGUUCGGGCCAGAGCGUGCCGG
RNAcentral lists this transfer RNA (78 nucleotides) under Flavimaricola marinus. RNAcentral describes it as "tRNA-Ala". Lineage: Bacteria; Pseudomonadati; Pseudomonadota; Alphaproteobacteria; Rhodobacterales; Paracoccaceae. The record is from RNAcentral.